CUCUCCGGCCAGACCACCCUGAUCGAGCCUGAUCUUGGAAGCUAAGCAGGGUUGGGCCUGGUUAGUACUCGGGUGGGAGAUGGGUCCCCCUCGGCACCUGCUUCAGCCCCUCAGCUCCUGGUUGCUGAGUUGA
Ribosomal RNA from Myotis lucifugus (little brown bat), 133 nucleotides. The record is from Ensembl. NCBI's taxonomy places the organism in Eukaryota, Metazoa, Chordata, Mammalia, Chiroptera, Vespertilionidae.